GGUGGCUCAGUGGUAGAGCAUUUGCCUUGCAUGCAUGAGGCCCUGGGUUCGAUUCCCGAGCACCA
Non-coding RNA from Dipodomys ordii (Ord's kangaroo rat), 65 nucleotides. Lineage: Eukaryota; Metazoa; Chordata; Mammalia; Rodentia; Heteromyidae. The record is from Rfam.